UACGGGGGGAGCAAGCGUUGUUCGGAUUUACUGGGCGUAAAGGGCGCGUAGGCGGCCACCGCAAGUCGAUUGUGAAAUCUCCGGGCUUAACCCGGAAAGGUCAACCGAUACUGCGGGGCUAGAGUGCAGAAGGGGCAACUGGAAUUCUCGGUGUAGCGGUGAAAUGCGUAGAUAUCGAGAGGAACACCUGCGGCGAAGGCAGGUCUCUGGGCCACUACUGACGCUGAGAAGCGAAAGCAUGGGGAGCGAACAGG
RNAcentral lists this ribosomal RNA (254 nucleotides) under uncultured bacterium. RNAcentral's name for it is "partial 16S ribosomal RNA". It matches the Rfam family "Bacterial small subunit ribosomal RNA", at positions 524 to 776 of the family's 1533-position model. The record is from RNAcentral.